This 589-nucleotide long non-coding RNA is filed under the name Rhinopithecus bieti (black snub-nosed monkey). RNAcentral's name for it is "lncRNA (ENSRBIG00000046056.1)". The record is from RNAcentral. Lineage: Eukaryota; Metazoa; Chordata; Mammalia; Primates; Cercopithecidae.
AGCCACAUUUCAUCAUAGUCUGGGGUUUGGAGGUUGCAUUAAUAGGUAUUUCCUUUUUUGUAGAAGCACUUGUCUAACUUUUUUUUUUUUUUUUUGAGACGGAGUCUCGCUCUGUCGUCCAUGCCGAAGUGUACUGGUGCGAUAUCGGCUCACUGCAACCUCCACCUCCCGGGUUCAAGCAAUUCUCCUGCCUCAGCCUCCUGACUAACUUUUUAAUUAUUGUUGUUGGUCUUCUUUUGUUGGAGAUUUCAUGGAGAAGCCCAAUCCCAUCUGUAGGAGGUAAGCCGACAAGGUGUACUGCACAAGAAGAAAACAAUGCAGAGCUUUCAGUUUGGCCAAGAAGACAGGCUAGGUUCAAGCAGUACUUGAAGAUUUCUUGUUAACCCCAGCAUAGAGGGUAAGAGUAUACCCUCGGGGUCAGACUCCCCGGUUUAAACUCCUGGGUAACUUAGAAAGUGUUGCCUAUAUUUUCAACGUGUUGGUAGAUUUUUUCCAUCUGUGAAAUAGGAAGCAUAAGGUAAGUCUCAAAGGGUGUUGUAAGAAUUCAAUGAAAUCAUAUGUGAAAAAUGCUUUCACCAUACUUGGCCGA